This 253-nucleotide ribosomal RNA is filed under the name uncultured bacterium. RNAcentral describes it as "partial 16S ribosomal RNA". It matches the Rfam family "Bacterial small subunit ribosomal RNA", at positions 524 to 776 of the family's 1533-position model. The record is from RNAcentral.
CACGUAGGGCGCAAGCGUUGUCCGGACUUAUUGGGCGUAAAGAGCUCGUAGGCGGUCUGUUGCGUCCGCUGUGAAAACUCGGGGCUUAACCCCGAGCCUGCAGUGGAUACGGGCAGACUAGAGGUAGGUAGGGGAGAAUGGAAUUCCCGGUGUAGCGGUGAAAUGCGCAGAUAUCGGGAGGAACACCGGUGGCGAAGGCGGUUCUCUGGGCCUUACCUGACGCUGAGGAGCGAAAGCGUGGGGAGCGAACAGG